GCCGCGAUCGCAUAAUUUGGUAUUGCGUCGGUCUCGAAAACCGAUUUCUUCGGAUAUGUAGGUUCAAAUCCUACUCGCGGCG
Molecule: transfer RNA, 82 nt
Filed under: Candidatus Woesearchaeota archaeon
Lineage: Archaea; Nanobdellati; Candidatus Woesearchaeota
Description: tRNA-Ser
Rfam family: tRNA
About the family: Transfer RNA (tRNA) molecules are approximately 80 nucleotides in length. Their secondary structure includes four short double-helical elements and three loops (D, anti-codon, and T loops).
Source: RNAcentral